GAAUUUGCAGAGACACAUUGCCCGCUUUACAGGGCUGUAUGUACCGACAGUGCCGUUUGUCCGUAAAAUCAAAUGUUAGAGGACACAAAACCUGUUGGUUUCACAGAGAAACAACAUUGCAGACGGUAGGUGUGAAGGCUGUAGGAUUUUCAUUUGCUCCAACAAUAGCAUGUUCUCUGAAUUGAAACCCAGAAAGCCCCAGACAUGCAACUUAAUAUAACUGUGUCUGAGCAGCCUUGAGGAGUGACGGAAGAAAAUUCUGUCUCCAUUAGCAACCUUUAUUGAUUCCCACAUUUGUGAAGAGAUGAAGCUGACUGCAGGAUCACUCUCACCAGAUCAACACAUCACUGAGCCAGUUCGGAACAAAACAUAUGGGAUCAAAUUUGUUAUCCAGGGCUGAAUACAUUUCCUAAAAUUCUUAAACAGUUGCCAAAUUAAAUGCAAAAACACAUUUAGUGAGUCAUUCUGAACUCAGAGUCUUGUGAAUAGACCAAAACAGAUCCAAUUUUACAGGAAGUGUCCAUUUUCAUUGCAUAAUCUGAUAUGGAGAUGUGAUGAUGCUAGAAUCACUUCUGAAACUAAAACCAGAGGUGCUUUAUCUAAAAAAAAAAAAAAAGAAAAGAAAAAAAAAGUGUCUGAACCAUAGCAUAGUUGUUAGCACACUUGCAUCUGACAUUUUGAGCAGUAGUGAUUUCCUGAUCCUGUUGGCCCCUCUUCUCUCAAUCAUUUUAAGUGCUCUCUAUAGUGUUUCAUCAAUAAAAAUGGCAAAGAAAAUGAAUGCUUAUUGUAAAAAUCUGAUCCAAAAUUUGUCCAUUUACAGGGUUACACCAACCAACAUGCUUAAUCAUUGAAUGUAUUUAGUAUUUAUUUAUAUACUAUUAUAUGUAAAUGUGUUCAUAUUUUGAAUUAGCUUAAAAAAAAAAAAAAAAAAAACCAGGGCAGUUGUGGCCUAAUGGAUAGAGAGUUGGACUUGUAACCCCAAGGGUCACAGAUUCGAGUCUUAGGUCCGUCAGGGAUUGUAGGUGGGGGGAGUGAAUAUCCAGCACUCUCUCCACUCUCAAUACCACAACUGAGGUGAGACCCUUGAGCAAGGCACUGAACCCCCAACUGCUCCCCUGGCGCCACAGCAUUGGC
This is a long non-coding RNA of Cyprinus carpio carpio, 1134 nucleotides long. The record is from Ensembl. NCBI's taxonomy places the organism in Eukaryota, Metazoa, Chordata, Actinopteri, Cypriniformes, Cyprinidae.